CCCACCAGGAAUGUGAUAGAAGGGAGUCCUGUACUCUUAAAAGCUAUAACCUGUUGAUGUCUGUCAUCUCAGCCAAAUCAAUGAGUCCAUCCAUUUUUUUGUUCUAAAUGAGAUACAUUUCUGUCUUUUUCAUAGCCAAGUAAUAUCAAUGAUGUUUAAUCAGGAUGGAGGCAUGAUGCUCAGCAAAAAAGGAACCACUGUGAGAGAAUGGAUAUGGCCUUCAAAGGGAAAACUUGACGAUCCAGUUGAAAUUUGGGUGAAUAAGUUCAUUACCGUGAAGAUUUCUGGGCGCUUUGCCAUCACCUUGAUCUACAAAUGGCACCCCCAAAGUAUAAGUCUGUCUCUGGCGCCCGUGAAAUGCAAACCUUUUCCUCCACAGUUACCUGAGGCGUCACUCCACGAUGUCAAUACUAUGUCCGAAGAAGCCAGGAAGCUAUUCAAGGCCUACAAAGUGAAGUGCAAGCAAAUGAAAUGCAUAACACAGAACAAAGAUCCUUCAAGUUUAACAGACUCAGUGGAUAUAGCUACAUUUGAUCCAGUAAUGGACAUAAGCCCUAUGUCUGACGUGGUGGCCAUUAUUAAAUUGAGAGGACUACAGACAAAGGCCAAGCAUAUCCUACUUCAAUGGCUUGAUCACUACAGAUUUGCCUUAGGAAUAGAAACCCGACAUAUUUGCAAAAUGCCCAAGUUUCCACAAAAAGUGGUCAGAAGAAGAAUCUCAACAGCAAAAUUUCCUUUGAAACAAAGUACAAAGGAAAGCAAUGAGAAUAAGGA
This is a long non-coding RNA of Bos taurus (domestic cattle), 774 nucleotides long. NCBI's taxonomy places the organism in Eukaryota, Metazoa, Chordata, Mammalia, Artiodactyla, Bovidae. The record is from Ensembl.